Molecule: long non-coding RNA, 1435 nt
Filed under: Oryctolagus cuniculus (rabbit)
Lineage: Eukaryota; Metazoa; Chordata; Mammalia; Lagomorpha; Leporidae
Description: lncRNA (ENSOCUG00000033574.1)
Source: RNAcentral
AGAAGCAGGACUUUUCACAGACAGUAGGAGCUGCGAAAGCAAAGAGAGUAUCUUCUAAAGAUUUCUUUAUAUAUUUAAACCCCACAACUGAAACCGUAUCGCAUCCUAGUGUUCGUUUGCGGAGAGGAUUCCCUGAGAGCGGUGUGGGCCCCUGCAUGACAGUCCCCCGGAAGCGGAGCCAGUCCUGGGCUGGGCUGCACAUUCAGAAAACUUCCUGCAACCCUGGGGUUUGGCUUUAGUUUUCUUCUCCUUGAUUUCUCGGUAGGUGCUAGCAUCAGUCCUCGCCCUGCACUGCGCGCAGACACACCUGGUCUGUGUGUGCCGGUGCCCACGGGCAUGCAGAUAGGCAGCAUAUGAGUGUGGGAUCCAAGAGCUAUAAUUUUUAAAGAAUCUUUUAUUUUAAUACAUUGUAGGAAAUCUUCAUAAUUUGAAAAAGUUCUGCAGCAUGGCUUUUUAUGUCUGUAAAUAAAUAAUUUUAGAACAGCCUUUUUUUUUUCCUUCCACAAACUACUAUUCUGGUCUAUUUUUUCCAGCCAUGUCACUGAUUGUGAAUUCCUACCAGCUAUUGACAGAAUACAGAGUUGAUUUUUUAAUAAAAAGUUCUAUAUAAUUAUCCCUUUCAUUAAAGGGAGAGAUGGGCGUUACUAACGACAGGCAGGCAGAAGCGUGGGCCCAGGUGCGGCUGCGGCAGCGAGCGUGGGCGUUGGCAGGGACAGUGUUAGACGCGGCGUUUUGUUGGUUUUCUUGGGUCCGUAGCCGGCACGCGUGGACGGCGGUCAGGUGGCGCCUCUGGUUUUGCACAAGGAGAGCAGAAAAUUCAAGGAAAUGAUUCCAUGCAGAUAACUCAGCACAUGAAAGACCCCAGGGCACACACUUGCCAAAGGAACCCGGGACGAGAGCUGCGCUGUGGUGCACAGCAUCGCUCACAUCUUCUGUGAGGACCCAGCCGCGUCCUUGCCACCUGCUGAGGCUGCUGCUGAGCGGGAGGCCUGCAGGUUGUAGGUGGGGCCUGCGUUUGCCCUUCAGGAGCAGUCCUGUGCGUGGUGACCCACACUGGAUUGGGAAACUCCUUCAGUCCCACUCUUCAUCCUGGGAGUGGGGAUAGGAAUCCCAGCUGCAAAUGUGAAGUGGGAAGCAGGCUUCCCCCCGGGAGGCGCCGCCUUGCAGGAGGUCAGGCCCCGGGAGCAGCGCUGUCCUGGGGAGAGCCGGCUGCCGAGUGCUGAUACCACGCACUUCCCCCAGCGCAGACGGGGGCACACGGAGCUGUCUGCGUGUUGCUCAGGCUUCUCGCCAGGACGGGACCUCUUCCAGUCCUCGCUCAGACUCGCAGGGGCUUCUCUGCCCUGUGUGUGGCGGUCACGUCCAUGAAUCUUGGGACAACCCACUCUGCUGCGUGGUGGACGUGAUGUGCGUGCCGGACCCAGACUGCGCUGGG